Camellia sinensis is the source of this 1089-nucleotide non-coding RNA. Lineage: Eukaryota; Viridiplantae; Streptophyta; Magnoliopsida; Ericales; Theaceae. The record is from RefSeq and is a predicted model, not a curated record.
UGCCUACAUCAGUCUCAUAUCUCUCUCUCUCCAUCGGCAUCUCACACAAACACACGAGCACAACCACCGACCACCACCAGCCACUGUUCAUCCGAUUCAGAAACAUGAACACGUCUCCGGCGUUAAUUCCCCUUGGAGUUUGAUUCCCUCCAUAGAUCCGUCGCCGCUACCGUUGGCCUUGGUAUCUCCGGCGGCAGAUUUCUUCUACGGCGAGGUCGUUCGAUUCUGAUUUCUUUUUUAAAUUACACAAAUCCAGAUCUCUCAUCUCUCAUUCACCAGGUUAGGACAACAAUGGAGGUAAAUCGCCGUAUAGGAAUGGUAGAUUAUUGUGAUUGGUCCUUUCUUUCCCUUUCUUCUUUAAGGUUAUAUUGGACGGUCCUUUUCUUUCCUCACUAUUACUGGCUGUCAACUAGCCAUUAAUGCUGUAGGUUAUCACUGACACUACGACAGUUUCAAUAGCUGAUUUUGCUUGUGAAGCGGAGAUUACUGAGUGUGAGCCAUUCCCAGAUGAAUGCUUCUUUUUGGAGGCCUUUUUUUUGGUCCCUAAUGAUUUAUGAAGGUAUCGCAUGGCUGAAGUCGAAUGGGUAAAGGAUAUAUAUCCAUCAGAAGGAACAAGAGAGAGAGCAGAUAUAGAAGUAGACUUGUGGAACUCGAUAAAGUGGAGUCGAUGAUGCCCACAGCAGGGGAUCCUGAACGCUACAGUUUUUGGCUUGCUACUUUAACAAACCGGAGGCCAUCAGAAAGAUUGGAACUCCUUAGCAAAAAUACACGAGCACCACCAGCAGCCACCACCACCAGCCACUGCCCCUCCGAUGAUGUUAGUUACACGAGCACCAAUCGAUUUAUUCCGAGCUUGGCAUUUGAUUCUUAUUCUGAGCCUUGGAUUUAUUCAGUGAGUGCCUUGGAUUAAUUCGGUUAGGAUUGCAUCCCUUAUUCGAUUAAUUCAGUUUCUCCUCUCUCAUCUUUCUUUGAUUUUGAUUUGAUUUCUAUAGUUUUGAUUUUGAUUUCUAGGGUUACAUAUUUUUAAUGGAAUUCAAUUAUUAUUUGAUGAUUUAGUGAAGUUACAAGAAAGGAAAUUUGUUAAUUAUU